RNAcentral lists this ribosomal RNA (506 nucleotides) under uncultured bacterium. RNAcentral's name for it is "partial 16S ribosomal RNA". It matches the Rfam family "Bacterial small subunit ribosomal RNA", at positions 30 to 523 of the family's 1533-position model. The record is from RNAcentral.
AUUGAACGCUGGCGGCAGGCCUAACACAUGCAAGUCGAACGGUAGCACAGAGGAGCUUGCUCCUUGGGUGACGAGUGGCGGACGGGUGGGUAAUGUCUGGGAAACUGCCCGAUGGAGGGGGAUAACUACUGGAAACGGUAGCUAAUACCGCAUAACGUCUUCGGACCAAAGUGGGGGACCUUCGGGCCUCACACCAUCGGAUGUGCCCAGAUGGGAUUAGCUAGUAGGUGGGGUAAUGGCUCACCUAGGGGACGAUCCCUAGCUGGUCUGAGAGGAUGACCAGCCACACUGGAACUGAGACACGGUCCAGACUCCUACGGGAGGCAGCAGUGGGGAAUAUUGCACAAUGGGCGCAAGCCUGAUGCAGCCAUGCCGCGUGUAUGAAGAAGGCCUUCGGGUUGUAAAGUACUUUCAGCGGGGAGGAAGGCGUUAAGGUUAAUAACCUUGGCGAUUGACGUUACCCGCAGAAGAAGCACCGGCUAACUCCGUGCCAGCCGCCGCCGUAA